Molecule: ribosomal RNA, 439 nt
Filed under: Entamoeba histolytica
Lineage: Eukaryota; Evosea; Mastigamoebida; Endamoebidae
Description: SSU rRNA
Rfam family: Eukaryotic small subunit ribosomal RNA
Source: RNAcentral
AAGCAUUGUUUCUAGAUCUGAGUAUAUCAAUAUUACCUUGUUCAGAACUUAAAGAGAAAUCUUGAGUUUAUGGACUUCAGGGGGAGUAUGGUCACAAGGCUGAAACUUAAAGGAAUUGACGGAAGGGCACACCAGGAGUGGAGCCUGCGGCUUAAUUUGACUCAACACGGGAAAACUUACCAAGACCGAACAGUAGAAGGAAUGACAGAUUAAGAGUUCUUUCAUGAUUUAUUGGGUAGUGGUGCAUGGCCGUUCUUAGUUGGUGGAGUGAUUUGUCAGGUUAAUUCCGGUAACGAACGAGACUGAAACCUAUUAAUUAGUUUUCUGCCUAUAAGACAGAAAUGUUCGCAAGAACAGGUGCGUAAGUACCACUUCUUAAAGGGACACAUUUCAAUUGUCCUAUUUUAAUUGUAGUUAUCUAAUUUCGGUUAGACCUCUU